Nerophis lumbriciformis (worm pipefish) is the source of this 444-nucleotide non-coding RNA. The record is from the annotation of a RefSeq genome assembly. NCBI's taxonomy places the organism in Eukaryota, Metazoa, Chordata, Actinopteri, Syngnathiformes, Syngnathidae.
AUGUGGCCUGCACCAGUGCUUCUGCUCGUCCAGUCGGCUCUGCUGAUUCAAGGAUCUUCCGCCCAGGAUUUGUUGACUCAGACGGACAAAAUCAAGUAUGUCAGUCUUGGUGGGACGGUGACCAUCAGCGCCAAAGGGAGUUCAAAUAUUGGUGCUGAUCUCAGUUGGUACCAAGUGAAACCUGGACAGGUUCCUAAACUUCUGAUCUAUGCUGCAUCAAGUCACUUUACUGGAACACCACCUCGAUUCAGUGGCACACAAUCUGGCUCUGACUACACUCUGACUAUCAGUGGUGUUCAGGCAGAAGAUGUCGCUGAUUACUACUGUUUUGCCUAUUUUGGACCUGGAAGGGAAGUGAAAGUGGAAGAUGAUGAUGACUGGUCCACUGAACAAAGAUCACCAAUUAGAACCAGCGUCAAUCUGAACAAGUUGAUUGACUUGUAA